CACGUAGGGCGCAAGCGUUUGUCCGGAAUUAUUGGGCGUAAAGGAGUCUGCGUGAGCGGUCUGUUGCGUCCGCUGUGAAAACUCGGGGCUUAACCCCCGAGCCUGCAGUGGAUACGGGCAGACUAGAGGUAGGUAGGGGAGAAUGGAAUUCCCGGUGUAGCGGUGAAAUGCGCAGAUAUCGGGAGGAACACCGGUGGCGAAGGCGGUUCUCUGGGCCUUACCUGACGCUGAGGAGCGAAAGCGUGGGGAGCGAACAGG
RNAcentral lists this ribosomal RNA (258 nucleotides) under uncultured bacterium. Its description in RNAcentral is "partial 16S ribosomal RNA". It matches the Rfam family "Bacterial small subunit ribosomal RNA", at positions 524 to 776 of the family's 1533-position model. The record is from RNAcentral.